UACGGAGGAGGCAAGCGUUAUCCGGAAUUAUUGGGCGUAAAGCGUCCGCAGGUGGCAGUUCAAGUCUGCUGUCAAAGACCGGGGCUUAACUUCGGAAAGGCAGUGGAAACUGAACAGCUAGAGUAUGGUAGGGGCAGAGGGAAUUCCUGGUGUAGCGGUGAAAUGCGUAGAUAUCAGGAAGAACAGCGGUGGCGAAGGCGCUCUGCUGGACCAUAACUGACACUCAGGGACGAAAGCUAGGGGAGCGAAUGGG
RNAcentral lists this ribosomal RNA (253 nucleotides) under uncultured bacterium. RNAcentral's name for it is "partial 16S ribosomal RNA". It matches the Rfam family "Bacterial small subunit ribosomal RNA", at positions 524 to 776 of the family's 1533-position model. The record is from RNAcentral.